GAUGAACGCUGGCGGCGUGCCUAAUACAUGCAAGUCGAGCGAACAGACGAGGAGCUUGCUCCUCUGACGUUAGCGGCGGACGGGUGAGUAACACGUGGAUAACCUACUUAUAAGACUGGGAUAACUUCGGGAAACCGGAGCUACUACCGGAUAAUAUAUUGAACCGCAUGGUUCAAUAGUGAAUGACGGUUUUGCUGUCACUUAUAGAUGGAUCCGCGCCGCAUUAGCUAGUUGGUAAGGUAACGGCUUACCAAGGCAACGAUGCGUAGCCGACCUGAGAGGGUGAUCGGCCACACUGGAACUGAGACACGGUCCAGACUCCUACGGGAGGCAGCAGUAGGGAAUCUUCGGCAAUGGGCGAAAGCCUGACGGAGCAACGCCGCGUGAGUGAUGAAGGUCUUCGGAUCGUAAAACUCUGUUAUUAGGGAAGAACAAAUGUGUAAGUAACUAUGCACGUCUUGACGGUACCUAAUGAGAAAGCCACGGCUAACUACGUG
RNAcentral lists this ribosomal RNA (497 nucleotides) under uncultured bacterium. RNAcentral describes it as "partial 16S ribosomal RNA". It matches the Rfam family "Bacterial small subunit ribosomal RNA", at positions 28 to 507 of the family's 1533-position model. The record is from RNAcentral.